GGAGUGCAAUGGCAUAAGCUUGCUUGACUGUGAGACCUACAAGUCGAACAGGGUCGAAAGACGGACAUAGUGAUCCGGUGGUUCUGUAUGGAAGGGCCAUCGCUCAAAGGAUAAAAGGUACGCUGGGGAUAACAGGCUGAUCUCCCCCAAGAGCUCAUAUCGACGGGGAGGUUUGGCACCUCGAUGUCGGCUCGUCACAUCCUGGGGCUGGAGAAGGUCCCAAGGGUUGGGCUGUUCGCCCAUUAAAGUGGCACGCGAGCUGGGUUCAGAACGUCGCGAGACAGUUCGGUCCCUAUCUGUUGUGGGCGUUGGAAGUUUGAGUGGAUCUGACCUUAGUACGAGAGGACCGGGUUGGACAGACCUCUGGUGAACCUGUUAUGCCGCCAGGUGUACGGCAGGGUAGCUACGUCUGGAAUAGAUAAGCGCUGAAAGCAUCUAAGUGCGAAACUAGCCACGAGAUGAGACUUCCUUAUAGGGUCGUAGGAGAUGACUACGUUGAUAGGCCAUAGGUGUAAAGGUUGAGAGACCAAAGCCAAGUGGUACUAAUAGCCCGAAGCUUUCUCAAG
Molecule: ribosomal RNA, 566 nt
Filed under: Sphingobacterium athyrii
Lineage: Bacteria; Pseudomonadati; Bacteroidota; Sphingobacteriia; Sphingobacteriales; Sphingobacteriaceae
Description: bacterial LSU rRNA
Rfam family: Bacterial large subunit ribosomal RNA
Source: RNAcentral